CUUGUUGUUUUAUUUUUUCAAUUUCCGUUUUUCUAUCUAUUUCUUCAUUUUCUUUUGUUAUUCUUAUCAUAGCAGUUAAACUAUCUUCUAGUUUUACCGUUUCUUUUUCUAACAUUAAAUUUAGAUUGUCACCUAUUUUCUUAUAUCUUCUUCCUAGAUUAGAAAAUAUUAUCUUUAUUUUUAAUCCGUCAUAGUUUUCAUAUGUUUUUUCAUCUAUUGCGUAUUCUUCUUUAUUCAUUUAUAAAUUAUGUUGUAG
This 256-nucleotide long non-coding RNA is filed under the name Solanum tuberosum (potato). Its description in RNAcentral is "long non-coding RNA (STUB_LNC006243)". The record is from RNAcentral. Lineage: Eukaryota; Viridiplantae; Streptophyta; Magnoliopsida; Solanales; Solanaceae.